Molecule: long non-coding RNA, 1990 nt
Filed under: Heterocephalus glaber (naked mole-rat)
Lineage: Eukaryota; Metazoa; Chordata; Mammalia; Rodentia; Bathyergidae
Description: lncRNA (ENSHGLG00000033386.1)
Source: RNAcentral
AAACUGCCAGACUCCUUUUUUUUUUCAAAAUAAUUGUGCUACAUUUUUUUCCCACUAGUAACAUUGAGAGUUCUGUUUGCUUUAUAUCCCUGCCAACAAUCUUUUCUGAUUUUUAUCAUUUGACUAGGUACGUAACAGUAUCUCAUUGUAGUUUUAAUGACAACUGGUGAUGUUGAGUGUUUUUUUGUUUUUGUUUUGUUGUUGUUGUUGAGCGUUUUUUGAUGUGCCUGGCCAUUUGCACAUCUUUUAUGAAAUGGUUGUUCCAGUGUUUUGUUGGAGUUUUUUUGUUUUUCUUCUCUCUCUCUCUCUCUCUCUCACACUCCUCUCAAGUUUUGGUCUCUACUAUCAUAGUUAUUAAAUUGUAAAAGUGACUGACUUCAAGGAAAUCACUGAUUUUCUGUUUCCCGAUUUGUAAGUAGCACUGGGGCUACAAGAAAUACCAAACUUGACUACUGCCCAUAGUGUCUUGGACACGUAAGAGCCCGAACAUGUCCACUGUCAUCCAAAGCAUGCAAGACCCAUGCCAGGAAGGAUGUGGGCGGUCCCCAGGAGAUGGGGGAGGGGUGGCAAACACAGAUAUGAAGAGAGGCAGUGGUCAGUAGCCCCGAAAGCAGCAGCAGAUGUCGACUGUCUCCUUGGGAGGAAGGAGAAGAAAAGGGAUGGAGAGCCCUCUGGCCCUGGAGCAGGAGAAAAUGGAAAUGUAGCAGAUGUAUAAGCUAAGCUGGAAGCUCUGCACAGAACUAGUUUGGGCCUGUCUCGGCAGGGACUUCUGCUUAUGAGUCUCCCUGCCUUACCUCCUCUGGCCAUAGCUUUGCACAGAACCAGCAGGCAAAGCACAAGUGGAGUCUGCAGAACCCAGUGGACUACAGAACGAGAGUUUGGAGGUAAAAGAUGAUAACAAACAAAUCUUACAGAAUGCAGUGACCUUGCAGACAAACAGGAACCUUUUUGGAAUAAGCUACCCAUCCUCUACUCACCCAGAAAUGGGAGCAGUAUCUUAAGAGCAAAUAGGCCAAAUGGCCACACUUCUGCCAUAUGGACUUCCCAGUUGCUAUUUCCUUUGUUGGCUCUAGCUCAAUGCCUCGGUAUGUAAGAGUUACUGCAUAUUCUGCUUUAUACUUGAUAUGAAGAGCCUUCUAAACUGAUAUGCAACUUUUGACUUAGUAACUUUAGAACCAAACCCCCAGCCCCUCAAUACUCACUGAAGUCAACCAUGGCUGUAGAAGAACCAGGGUACAGGUAGGCACAGGUUCCUUUAUAUCCUGCUGCCUCUGUUUACCAGCUGUCUAACUCUGAGGUUCCAGUUAAUACUCAGAGCUCCAGUUUCAGUUUAUGGAGCAUGAAUGAGAGCAUUGAGGUGCUUCACAUAGGUCUGCUGCAGGGCGAUCACUCAGUCUGUGGUAGCUGCAGAGGAUGUUACCACUGCUCUACAGUGAAAAGGAAAAAAACCCAAAAGACAAAGCAGAGACUAACAGUCUCAAAGCUUUGCAGAGACUGAUGGUCUCAAGGCUGACAGUCUCAUGGCUUGCCUUUCCUGCUAGACCCACCAAGGUCACUGUGCCCGAAAGAUGAACUGCUAAAACAGCAGCUGCCUGUACCUCCCUAUGUCUUAAAGAUAAACUGUAAAAGCAAAAUUUGCCUCCACCUCCCUACCUUUUGCCAAGUUCUGCUUCUGUAAAAUUCUGCUUGCCCUGCCCAAAGAACAAGAUAAAAACGGGGCUCAGACUGUGGAAAGUGACUUCUGCUGGGCCUGCUAGUGAAUAAACCCUGCCUCUCCCUACAGUUCUCUGAGUGCCGCUCUCUUCCUUGGUCUGCCUGCCCUCCAAGUGCUGUUUUACUAGUUAUUCUCAGACUUUGCACCAGGCACCAAAGGGAUCCCAGGGAGAAACUAUUCUGGUUACUGGAAGAGAGGGCUGGCAGGGGAGCAGAAUGGUGAGUGGCAGGUCUACACCACGACAGUUUGCUCUGAGCUCCCCAGAGUGCUGUGCCA